Molecule: ribosomal RNA, 274 nt
Filed under: uncultured bacterium
Lineage: Bacteria
Description: partial 16S ribosomal RNA
Rfam family: Bacterial small subunit ribosomal RNA
Source: RNAcentral
AUACGGAGGGUGCAAGCGUUGUUCGGAAUCAUUGGGCGUAAAGCGCGUGUAGGCGACCAACUAAGUCUGAUGUGAAAGCCCGGGGCUCAACCCCGGAAGUGCAUUGGAUACUGGUUGGCUAGAGGACGAGAGGGGGAAGUGGAAUUCCUGGUGUAGGGGUGAAAUCCGUAGAUAUCAGGAGGAACAUCCGUGGCGAAGGCGGCUUCCUGGCUCGUUUCUGACGCUGAGACGCGAAAGCGUGGGUAGCAAACAGGAUUAGAUACCCCUGUAGUCC